Molecule: unclassified non-coding RNA, 502 nt
Filed under: Cladosporium sp. 0312TES23W2
Lineage: Eukaryota; Fungi; Ascomycota; Dothideomycetes; Cladosporiales; Cladosporiaceae
Description: sequence contains 18S rRNA gene, ITS1, 5.8S rRNA gene, ITS2, 28S rRNA gene
Source: RNAcentral
GAGGUCACCUUAGAAAUGGGGUUGUUUUACGGCGUAGCCUCCCGAACACCCUUUAGCGAAUAGUUUCCACAACGCUUAGGGGACAGAAGACCCAGCCGGUCGAUUUGAGGCACGCGGCGGACCGCGUUGCCCAAUACCAAGCGAGGCUUGAGUGGUGAAAUGACGCUCGAACAGGCAUGCCCCCCGGAAUACCAGGGGGCGCAAUGUGCGUUCAAAGAUUCGAUGAUUCACUGAAUUCUGCAAUUCACAUUACUUAUCGCAUUUCGCUGCGUUCUUCAUCGAUGCCAGAACCAAGAGAUCCGUUGUUAAAAGUUUUAAUUUAUUAAUUAAGUUUACUCAGACUGCAAAGUUACGCAAGAGUUUGAAGUGUCCACCCGGAGCCCCCGCCCGAAGGCAGGGUCGCCCCGGAGGCAACAGAGUCGGACAACAAAGGGUUAUGAACAUCCCGGUGGUUAGACCGGGGUCACUUGUAAUGAUCCCUCCGCAGGUUCACCUACGGAAG